This is a long non-coding RNA of Mus musculus (house mouse), 470 nucleotides long. RefSeq annotates it as predicted gene, 31542. Lineage: Eukaryota; Metazoa; Chordata; Mammalia; Rodentia; Muridae. The transcript has 3 exons. The record is from RefSeq and is a predicted model, not a curated record.
AAUCCAUCCACAACACAACUGUUAAGCUCAUGUUUCCUCUUCUGCUGCAAACAAUUGUAAAAAUGAUUGGUAUCUGCCCUGGUGGAGAGCCUGUCUGCUUCAUCCCCCGGGCUCCAACUUCCUGGAAGGGCUGUAUGUGUGAGAAACAGGCAUUCCCAAGACGUGCAGAUAAUAGCUUCUCACGGAGAACCUAAUCACUCAGCUCAGAGAGGAGAAACGUAAAGACUGUUUCAACAUACCCAAGAGCUCUCAAGCUGGAAGCCAGAAGCCCACCACAGACUCCAGGUGGGGCACCUGAAGGCAAGAUGGUUUAAGGGAAGAGCCUUCGUCUCUCUAGGCUUUGGCUUCUCAUCAGGACCUUUGGAACAGAUGCCCUCGGAACAGGACACAUACAGCAUCACCAGCCAUCCUGGAGAAGACUUACGCCUACUGCAAAAUAGACAAACUUAAAUCAGAAGAAAAGGUGGGGC